AAAUUGAAGAGUUUGAUCAUGGCUCAGAUUGAACGCUGGCGGCAGGCCUAACACAUGCAAGUCGAGCGGUAGCACAGAGAGCUUGCUCUCGGGUGACGAGCGGCGGACGGGUGAGUAAUGUCUGGGAAACUGCCUGAUG
RNAcentral lists this ribosomal RNA (139 nucleotides) under Klebsiella pneumoniae. RNAcentral describes it as "partial 16S ribosomal RNA". It matches the Rfam family "Bacterial small subunit ribosomal RNA", at positions 1 to 135 of the family's 1533-position model. RNAcentral also lists the same sequence under 2 other names. The record is from RNAcentral. Lineage: Bacteria; Pseudomonadati; Pseudomonadota; Gammaproteobacteria; Enterobacterales; Enterobacteriaceae.